UUUGAUCUCACACUAGGACUGUGGAUUGUAGAUUGAUUUGAUGAUUUGCUUAGGCGACAGAUUGGACUACUUUUUCAAAAAAGCAGAUUGUAACGGUUUUACCGGCUUAAAAUUUGAAUUCUUCAUGCCCAUAGCUGCAACGAAACCGAUUUUCGAUGCCGCAAUCAGAACGAGGUGACAUACGAACAGUUUUAUUGCACCACCAUAAACACCGCUGUCAGAUAAUUCGAUGCCGGUAUCUAUAAUUGAAAUAUAAAACUAUAUAACUACUGGAUAACUGGGGACCGCUACCGAUCGAGAUAAUCCUCACGCCGUUUGUGUGCGAAUUGCACUCAAACUUGCCCAAUGCCAAUAUCCGAUUGCUGCAAGGAACGCUCGCUUGAAGCAACAACAACAAAAAGCUGCCGUUCUCGAGCUUCAGGUUCAGAAAGGUAAAGUCGUGGCCGUGCUGAUUAGAUUUAUCGUCCCAACGUGUAAUUAACCGUACGGUACACAUACUUUAUUAGAAACCUCUUGCGUGCAGGCUGACCUCACGGUGUUUGGCGCUGUCGCCGGUAUUUAUGGCUUUCUUCCGAGUUCCUGAUGGCCUCGCCCUGCCUACCGUUCGAGAGCGCCUGGCAAGGGGUGAAAAUGUAAAUUAAUUAUUAAACUCGUCACACUCAAAACCUCCUUUCCGCCCACAGUGAGCUGUAGUUGCUGUACUUUCAACCUAGCUUUUUUCUUCCUUCAUCUCGGUCGGAUUCUUUGUUUUACGAGGUAGCAAAAACCGAAGAACGAGUACUCCUGCAACACCACCAUCGCCGAGUACGUCACGAUAUGCAGCUGAAAAGGGGAAAGACAUUGGCAUUGAUUUUAUUUAUGGCUGCCUGGUAACCAUCAGCAAGCGGUCAGUGCAUUGCAGUUGGGUCCUCGGUAUUGCAGCUAGCUCAGUCGGACAACUGACUUAAACUCUGGACCGGUUCUUGGGCACAUGCCCAACGAUCGCAACCAUCGAAUGGAGCAAAGCUGGUUUUGCACGGUGUCGCUGGCGGAAAUUCGUUGCUCCAUUGAACCCGGGGUACCAUAGCUGUCGGAAGUGGCCGGUACUCCACUGCGAACCACCAGAAACGCCAGAUGGUGGCACCUGAUCGGGCCAACGGACGGACGGCCGGUAAUACAUAAUUUCUGAAAAGGGGCCACACGAUCCUACGCUCUGUAUGAGGCAAGUUGUUAUGCUCCGGUACGGAGGCGAUCUAUUCUAACAGCAAACACACGCCUAACGAAUGAGGUAACUACGGUAAGAAUGGUGUACACCUUACAGUGGCUAGCAAGAUAAACGAAACGUUGGAUGCUAAGCCCACCAAGAUGAAAGGGAGCGCUCGGGACAACUUUUGGCACGGCUGGAACUUGUUGCAAUCGUGUCAUGUUCAAGGUUUCCGUGCGUGUGUUCGGUGCACACACAAGACGAAGCAAACCGGAGCGAGCGUACGAAAACAACGCGGAAGUUGAAUUUCUUGAACGAUUCCAACUAUCACUGGUAAGAUAAUCCAUCAACAUUUUUUGAUCUUCGUCAGAACAUGGCGUUCUAUACAUCCAGCUCGUAAGUAAUACUUCGUAAAGCAUUUAUAGCAAUGGUGAUAUGUUUUUGAGAUAAAUAACAAAGAAGAUACAAUUUUAACAAGCAA
Long non-coding RNA from Anopheles stephensi (Asian malaria mosquito), 1664 nucleotides. RefSeq lists it as uncharacterized. The record is from RefSeq and is a predicted model, not a curated record. NCBI's taxonomy places the organism in Eukaryota, Metazoa, Arthropoda, Insecta, Diptera, Culicidae. The transcript has 2 exons.